CCCCUCCCGACUUUAUAAGUGGAAGGCAGCCCUUAUUAAGGGGUGUUGAUAACAAGGUCUUAUGCAACUUUCCGCCGCGAACCGUGUCAGGAUAGGGAUAUAGCAGCACUAAACGGAGAGGCGAGUGUGCCAUAAGGUCGCUUUGUUGGAGCUACCUAAUAAGGUAACGCUUCGGCUUAUAUUGGCAAAAGGGGCUGCACGG
Molecule: signal recognition particle RNA, 202 nt
Filed under: Clostridia bacterium
Lineage: Bacteria; Bacillati; Bacillota; Clostridia
Description: partial signal recognition particle sRNA large type
Rfam family: Bacterial large signal recognition particle RNA
About the family: The signal recognition particle (SRP) is a universally conserved ribonucleoprotein involved in the co-translational targeting of proteins to membranes.
Source: RNAcentral